GCUGGGUAUGGUGGCUCAUGCCUGUAAUCCCAGCACUUUGGGAGGCUGAAGCGGGUGGAUCACCUGAGGUCAGGAGUUCAAGACCAGCCUGGCCAACAUGGUGAAACCCCGCCUCUA
Molecule: non-coding RNA, 117 nt
Filed under: Chlorocebus sabaeus (green monkey)
Lineage: Eukaryota; Metazoa; Chordata; Mammalia; Primates; Cercopithecidae
Source: Rfam by way of RNAcentral